Prunus dulcis (almond) is the source of this 640-nucleotide long non-coding RNA. RefSeq lists it as uncharacterized. The record is from RefSeq and is a predicted model, not a curated record. NCBI's taxonomy places the organism in Eukaryota, Viridiplantae, Streptophyta, Magnoliopsida, Rosales, Rosaceae. The transcript is spliced from 4 exons.
AGGACAAGACCCUUGGCACCGCACUGCCAUAAUUCAUUCAAUCAAAUUAAGCGAUAGUUUUUAAUACCAAGAGCUUGUGUUUUCAUAUUGGGAGAAGGAGUAUCGGAUAUAAGAUCGUAGUGCAAUAUGAUGACAAAUUAUGAGGAUCGGGAUUAUGAUGCUAAGGAAGGAAGAUCAAGGGUUGAGAAAUGUGUAAUUAGGGACCAUAUGAUUCUUAAUAAGAAAGGAGAGGAUUCUGGGGUAAAUCCCUCAGUUACGGACACAACAGACUUGUCAAACGCAACGCGCAAAGAAGCUCGUAGAGCCUGUAAUUCUAUUUUUUAUCGUCCUUUGGUAAAUACAAGAAAUUAAUGCUUUUGUAGAAUUUGUUACCCGUAUUAACAAGAGAGAUAAAAUUAUACUACGGAUUCAAAACCAAAAGAUAUGGAGGAUUGCAUUCUCACUUUAUGGUGUCAUAUGGCCCGAAGAUGAGCCUUAUGCAGAUGAAGCAAUUGAACUGCUGAGGACAACCAUAUCUCAGAGAUGGGUGGAGGUUGAACUGCAGACUAUUGAUGAAGAUGGAUAUUUUGUGGGAUAUUUAUCGGAGUCAAAUACCAUGUGCUAACUCCCGUCCUUGAAGCCGGCCUUGCAGAACUUGAAG